CACCCCCUCCUCCACCAUACAAAUACAUCUCCCCACCACCCCCCACACACUCUCCUCCACCAUACAAAUACAACUCCCCACCACCACCAUCACCCUCUCCUCCUCCCCCUUACAUCUACGAGUCCCCUCCACCUCCUGUGAAGUCACCACCACCACCGGUUUACAUUUAUGCAUCUCCCCCACCUCCAGUUCACUAUUAAGCAUAGACCGAUCAUGUUUUAAUAUAAACAGUGGAAUAAAGGAAGGCUCCCAAAGUGGGAAAUUGAGGCAUCAAGCUUCCAAUCCAAGUCCAUUCAAUAAGGGUCUGGCAGAAACUUCAAUGAUCUACAACAUCAGCAAUUCAGACCAGUGUGUUUCUACUUUGUUGGUGGCCAUCUUGCACAUGAUUUUACUAUAUUCUUCAAGUUGGGAACCAAGCAAGAUUAAAUGGGAAAGUGGGUAAUAUUGGAGGGUUUAAUUUAUCAGCAGGGUCUUGGAAUUAGCUUGGUUGUCACAGUUUCAUUUUUCAGUAUUCCCACUUGGGGUCUCUUAAUUUGUGAUUGUAUAGUGAGUGCUUUGGCCUUUUAAUUGUUUGAUUGGCUUCUAUUUAUUGCGUGGAGAAUAUCAUGUUUCUUGGCCCUUCCUGUGCUCUAGGCACUGAUGAGUAAUUUAGCAAUAAAGAAAGACAUUCAUGUUCAA
This is a long non-coding RNA of Prunus dulcis (almond), 678 nucleotides long. RefSeq lists it as uncharacterized. Lineage: Eukaryota; Viridiplantae; Streptophyta; Magnoliopsida; Rosales; Rosaceae. The transcript is spliced from 2 exons. The record is from RefSeq and is a predicted model, not a curated record.